This 253-nucleotide ribosomal RNA is filed under the name uncultured bacterium. Its description in RNAcentral is "partial 16S ribosomal RNA". It matches the Rfam family "Bacterial small subunit ribosomal RNA", at positions 524 to 776 of the family's 1533-position model. The record is from RNAcentral.
UACGUAGGGGUCGAGCGUUGUCCGGAGUUACUGGGCGUAAAGCGUGUGCAGGCGGCUCAUUGCGCCCGGCGUGAAAGCCCCCGGCUCAACCGGGGAGAGUCGUCGGGGACGGGUGAGCUUGAGGGUAUCAGGGGCUGGUGGAAUUCCUGGUGUAGCGGUGAAAUGCGCAGAUAUCAGGAGGAACACCAGCGGCGAAGGCGGUGCUCUGGGCCGGAACUGACACUGAGGAGCGAAAGCGUGGGUAGCAAACAGG